UGACUGGAUUCAGACGUGUGUUCUUCCGUCAAUCAUUAUGUUAAGCCCGCCUAACGUCUCUAUACACAAUGUGAUUGGCCCUAUCGAAGUUUAAUUUUUCCAGCUCGCAAGCCAACGGAGAGUUGGUAGACUAGCCCGGGUCCCUAGGGUGCAUCUAGAUUUCUAGGCUAGGACUUUGUGUGAACUGGGAAUCAAGCCUUUGAAUUCACUGGUACUGAAUAUCUCAUGUAAAACAUUCAGCAGAACAACAACACAUUCCACACUGUGAUUCCAAAACCUCUAGAAUACUAACGUUACUGCGUUUAGAAUAAUAUCCUUAUCUGAGCCGCCAAGCCACUGUCUGUGCCUUUGCAUUUCUGAAAUGGUGUGUGUAUAUGGGGUGGGGGUAUGGUGUGUGUAAUGGUGUGUGAGUGUGUGUGUGUGUGAGGAGGUUGUGGUGUAAUGGUAUGUGUAGAUACUAAGAGGUUUCUUUUGUGUUGCAUUUAAAAAUGUCUGAAUAAAAUAAAUAUUAACUUUA
This is a long non-coding RNA of Alosa sapidissima (American shad), 517 nucleotides long. RefSeq lists it as uncharacterized. The record is from RefSeq and is a predicted model, not a curated record. NCBI's taxonomy places the organism in Eukaryota, Metazoa, Chordata, Actinopteri, Clupeiformes, Clupeidae. The transcript is spliced from 4 exons.